CCCUGGCCAGCGCCCACUGCGCCAGGUGAGGAAUCCGAAGUCCUCAUCAAGGACCCUCCACUUAUUACAAAUUCAGCUGGGACUGAAGCGGUGUGUCCGCAGCUUGGACACCAAACAGGCGACCCCUUUACUAGCUGAGAAUACGCCUCUGUGAAGACAAGUGACUGCAAAGCAGCGAAGCCUCAGUCCUGAGAGCAUUUUUCUAAGACAUCAGUUCCAUCAGAUAUGUCUUUGGGAAUCAUUUCAUACUCAGCCAAGUGUUAGAAAGGGCUGGUUGGCAUUAUUUGCUCCAAUAAUAAAUCCAUGUGCGCUAAUGUUCGUCAAUGCUGCUCUGCAGGGAGAAGUCAAAGCACGCAAGCCAGGCCUCCAUGGGGAGGCCCGAGAUGACUGGAGGGUUUGUGCCUAAGCAUUUGUUCAGAUGCAAUAAUCCACUACUCUUGGGGAGAAAAUGAUCCUUUUUUAAAAAUUAUUUUGUCUUUUUAAAAAACUGAUCUAACAAAUUUUGCAGAAUUGAAGGAGCAACUGAAGCAAAGUUUUCUUGUUGAUAGAGGUGUGUCCGGUGUGCAGAUGUGUCCUUUGGAGACUGGGUCGACAUGUCGCCAUGGCACUGUGCCUGCUCCAGUCCCUGGCCAGCCCUCCAUCUGUCAGCGACAGCACACGAGGUCCUCCUGGACAGAGAGUAUCCAGUACUAUGGACACUGUGGACACAGAAAAUGCUUCCUUCCUCUCUAAAUCUCCCCAGGAGGGCUCCCUGGUGAGGCCCAAGGGAGGUGAUCCAGACAGCCAUCUCCUCACCAGAGCUUCUCCUCCCCCCUCAAACGAUGGAGAGAAAACAUGGAGAUGCUUCUUGCCGGCAGGUUUAUAAGAUUCAAAGCUUCUGGUGAGAAGCAGAGACAAGGUAGUAUCCUUCUGUGUUGGGGAGAGCUGGCCACUGCUGAUGCCAUAGCUGAGAGUCCCCUGCAGAAGCUGUCCCAGGAGGCCACAGGAGGGGUUGUCCUGGUGCAUGCCGACGGUAGCAGAGCUGCUACUCCUGCCGGUCCGUCCCUGGUGUUUAAUGAGCCCGUCCUGAGAUGAAGGAGGGAAAGUGGGGGCAGGCAAAAGAGAGAAUGUCCAUUGUGCCAGGAGGCAUCCCCGCCUUCCUCCUGUAGCUCUGGGACCAGCUGCAAGAAGGCAAAGUAUCAUACCAGCCUUUUGAGAGGGGAGGCUCAGAAGCCCAUCAGCAGACGAAUGAGCAGACAGAAUGCGGUCUAUCCGUGUGAUGGAACAUUAUUCAGCCGUAAAAAGGAAUGAAGCACUGACCCAGGCUACAACACGGUGAACCCUGAAAACGUGAUGCUGCGUGAAAGAAGCCACUCACAAAUGCCACACGUUGCGUGAUUCAAACGCCACACAUUGCAUGAUUCAAACGCCACACAUUGCAUGAUUCAAACGCCACACAUUGCAUGAUUCCAUUUACAUGAAAUGCCCAGAAUAGCAAAAGAAAGGAGUGGCUGACUUGGCAGAGAAGAGAUGAGAUCAUAUUUGCACUUGACCAAGAUGGCCCCAGGAGAUAAUGGGAGGAAGGGGGUGACCCUGGAGGCUGAUCUGGGAUGGUGAGCUGGCCCCCUCCACUGUCGAAUGUUUAAAAAACAUUAAAAAUGAGUCAAAAGGAGAACAGAGGAAUCCGCCCCUAGCUGGUGAUGCUUCUUUUUGUUACAUACAAGUGAAGAGAGUAUAGAGAGUCAUUCAUUCAUUCAUGCAGCUCAUCUGGACUGAGCAUCUACUGUGUUAGAGAGACCACGUAUAAAUACCCUUUUAAAUGUUUAUUCAGUAACGAAGAUAUUCCUGCUUCUGACUUCUCCAUCCAGGUCUUGGAAUCACCACCUCUCACACACACACCCAGGAAUCAUCUCUGUACCAGCCUCCUUUUCUCUAACCUCGAUCCCAUCCCAUCUGACCAAUCAGAAACCAAAUCCCACCAGCCUUCUCUCUGUGAUCGAACUGCAUCUUCUUUCUUCUUCCCCACUGGGUCCAUCUGCUGGCUCUCUAGCUGGAAGCUUCUCCACACCACCCCGCACCCACCUGCCAGCCCAGCUGCCGGGACUUUGGAACAGACCUGGCUGUGGAUCCCCCUGGGGGGCUUCCAAGCUGUGUGACCUUGGACAUGUUAUCUCGCCCUCCUAGUGUUCAUCUUCCCCAUCAAUAAGACAGGCAUGAAGCUGCCUAGCUCACCAGGCUGUGGAAAGGAUGGAAGACCACAGCAGGAGGCGUGAAGCUCCUGCAUGGUGCCCAACACAGGCGAGAGGGCAGACCUGUCCCCUAGAUCCUUGGCCAGUGCUCUUUGCCACAGUUUCCCUUCCCUUGGGCUUCAUCCUGCUGAAGACACUGCUGACCCGGCUGCCUGCAGUGACCUGCAAGCCUGCACCUGCUGCUUCCUGAACUCUCCUUAGGUGCUGCCCAGAGACACCUCCUCUAUCCUGUGGAAUGUCAUGGGGACCUGGAUUGCUAUUUCAGAUUUCAUGUGUGUGCCUAUCGCCCCGGCUGGACUCAGUUCCUUCAGGAUUAGGACCAGGCCUUAUGGUCCUUUGAAUUCCUCCUCAAAAAUCUGCAGGUUUUCCAGAAACAUCUCUUGAUUUCAAUUAGAGGUUUGUAGCUCUAGCACCAAAGUUAAGUUGGAUCUAGGGCUGCUGUUUGCAAGACGUACUUACUAAUCCAGGUGGGCACAGGCCAUGCAGCAGCCAGGCCCUCCAGUGCUGGGCUGGGGCUGCCCUGCCCCCUCCCCUCUCAGGAUCAGUCCUCCCGUGGAGACGGGGUGUCUUUCUGGGGUGCAGAAGCAACCACUCACUCCUUGGCUUUGAGGCUUCAUGAGACCACAGGGAAGCGCUCAAGCCCCUCAGCCUGGAAAACAAUGCCAGGCUUCCUUUCUCAGAUAAUCCCUCUGAUCCCUGCCCCCCUGACCCUCCACAGGCACAUCCAGCCUCCUGCAGGGCUCCUCAGACCCCAACCUGCCCAGCUGUUGGCAUCACCCCUACCAUUUUCUGCCUGCAGAUCCCUCUCCCUCCUCACCUGAAAAUCUCUCUCCUCCCUCCAAGAAUCAGAUCACGGUUACC
Molecule: long non-coding RNA, 3089 nt
Filed under: Homo sapiens (human)
Lineage: Eukaryota; Metazoa; Chordata; Mammalia; Primates; Hominidae
Description: HSALNT0273979
Source: RNAcentral